RNAcentral lists this non-coding RNA (19 nucleotides) under Arabidopsis thaliana (thale cress). The record is from RNAcentral. Lineage: Eukaryota; Viridiplantae; Streptophyta; Magnoliopsida; Brassicales; Brassicaceae.
GAGUGCUCAAAGCAAGCCU